AGUUUUAUAGUCAAUAAUGACAUUAGAAUGCAAUUCUAAAGGAAUAAUAAAUAAAUUAUUAAGGCUU
RNAcentral lists this transfer RNA (67 nucleotides) under Pipizella viduata. RNAcentral describes it as "tRNA-Cys". Lineage: Eukaryota; Metazoa; Arthropoda; Insecta; Diptera; Syrphidae. The record is from RNAcentral.